RNAcentral lists this ribosomal RNA (253 nucleotides) under uncultured bacterium. RNAcentral describes it as "partial 16S ribosomal RNA". It matches the Rfam family "Bacterial small subunit ribosomal RNA", at positions 524 to 776 of the family's 1533-position model. The record is from RNAcentral.
UACAGAGGGGGCAAGCGUUGUUCGGAAUUACUGGGCGUAAAGGGCGCGUAGGCGGCCUGUUAAGUCGAACGUGAAAUCCCCGGGCUCAACCCGGGAACUGCGUCCGAUACUGACAGGCUUGAAUCCGGGAGAGGGAUGCGGAAUUCCAGGUGUAGCGGUGAAAUGCGUAGAUAUCUGGAGGAACACCGGUGGCGAAGGCGGCAUCCUGGACCGGCAUUGACGCUGAGGCGCGAAAGCCAGGGGAGCAAACGGG